GCGGGGCUGGCGCCGGCGGCGCGCGCGGCCUUUGCGGGGCCAUGGCCGGAACUGGUGGUCUCGGCCGGCCGGCGCUCCGCCCCGGUGGCCCUGUG
Molecule: transfer RNA, 95 nt
Filed under: Roseomonas sp. CECT 9278
Lineage: Bacteria; Pseudomonadati; Pseudomonadota; Alphaproteobacteria; Acetobacterales; Roseomonadaceae
Description: tRNA-Ala
Source: RNAcentral